Molecule: transfer RNA, 101 nt
Filed under: Nitrospira sp.
Lineage: Bacteria; Pseudomonadati; Nitrospirota; Nitrospiria; Nitrospirales; Nitrospiraceae
Description: tRNA-Ser
Source: RNAcentral
GGGUGUUGUGAUUCGUAGCGUUGACAUAGAAUGUCAGCGAAUGCCAUUUAAACUGACUCUUAAUCAGCGGGUCGCAGGUUCGAGCCCUGCACGGCCCACCA